AGGAUCAUUAUUGAAUAAACCUGAUGUGGUUGUAGCUGGCUUUUCGAAGCAUGUGCUCGCCCGUCAUCUUUAUCUCUCCACCUGUGCACCUUUUGUAGUCUUGGAUACCUCUCGAGGAAACUCGGAUUUGGGAUCGCCGUGCCGUACAAGUCGGCUUUCCUUGCAUUUCCAAGACUAUGUUUUCAUAUACACCAAAGAAUGUUCAAAGAAUGUCAUCAAUGGGAACUUGUUUCCUAUAAAAACUAUACAACUUUCAGCAACGGAUCUCUUGGCUCUCGCAUCGAUGAAGAACGCAGCGAAAUGCGAUAAGUAAUGUGAAUUGCAGAAUUCAGUGAAUCAUCGAAUCUUUGAACGCACCUUGCGCUCCUUGGUAUUCCGAGGAGCAUGCCUGUUUGGGUGUCAUUAAUAUAUCAACCUCUUCAGCUUUUGCUUGUCGAGUGUUGGAUGUGGGGGUAUUUUCAUUUGCUGGCCUCUCUUGAGGGGUCGGCUCCCCUAAAAUAUAUUAGCGGAACAAUUUGUUGACCGUUCAUUGGUGUGAUAACUAUCUACGCUAUUGACGUGAAGCAGGUUCAGCUUCUAACAGUCCAUUAAUUUGGACAAAAUCUUCAUUAAUGUGACCUCAAAUCAGGUAGGACUACCCGCUGAACUUAA
RNAcentral lists this ribosomal RNA (651 nucleotides) under uncultured fungus. RNAcentral's name for it is "eukaryotic LSU rRNA". The stretch from base 249 to 402 matches the Rfam family "5.8S ribosomal RNA". Lineage: Eukaryota; Fungi. The record is from RNAcentral.